CUGACACCUUUACAGUUGCGGUGACGGCGGCGGGGAAUGGUGCGCGGGGUGCAAGAGCCCCAAAGAAACAAUGACAAGUGGGCAAGGAAUACUCGCCGAAGCCCCCACCUCACCCCGCUUUCAAUGUUAGUGUCACUUUUCCUUCCCCGUCCCGGCCAGUCUUGGCGCUCUCUUCCCCACUCGGGUCACAUCAAGGUAGCCAGUCUACUGACUGCAUAGAAAGGGAAACACGCUGUUUCAGCUAAGAAGACAAGCGCUUACAGAAGCUGCCUGACAACUUCCACCCGAAAACGUGGAAAAUGGGGUCCUGCUAACGCUGCCCACCCAAUUUCUCCGUGAAUAGAACUGGCAGCUAAAAAGUUGCGCCCAGGGCCAUCCGGCACCUGUAAGGCCGGCGGAAGCUUCUCCUCUCCACUCUGUUGAAACCUAUAGACGCUCCUUUCGGUGCUGCAAGCGGGCCCAGGUGAGGGGCAACAGAACGUCUUAACUCUGCCUUUCAAGAUUUUGCAACUCUGGCUCAACUCUAACAUCUUCAAGAUGCAGCAAAUUUGACUUUGAUGUGGACAUUAGAGAUGCACUUUUCUCCUGUGUGGGCUCUGUUAUCCACAUCAGACUGCCCCUCUACAUGGAUGUAUCCUCACCCUACUCAGGCUGGGCCUCUCCACACUGGACUGACCUUUCUGUGAUGCUGUCUUCACCCUGUACCAGAACCUUACACAGAAAACUGCCACCUUUUUCUUAAUAUAAAGAAGACUCUUUUCCAAAAAGAAUUCAAAUUUGUCUGUGUUCGAUAAGAUUUAAGUUUAUUUUAUGACAUUUCUGUAAAAGCUUGAGCUAGGGGUGGGGUGGGUGUGUGUGUGUGUGUGUGUGUGUGUGUGUGUGUGUGUUUUAUUUCAGAAAUUAUUUUUAAAAUACAAGAAAGAGAAGGGGCGGGGGCUGCAAAUAACUUUGUUAAUUGUCUGCAUUGUAUUCAGCCUUGUGCUAGAUGCUUUCAGGAGAUGGUCUCAUUUACUUCCCACCCUUACCCCUCAGGUUAGGCAGUGUUGCCUCAGUUUUAUUGCUCAAGAAGUAAGUCUAAAAGGUUAAGGACAUAAAUGCUAAUGUUUUGGGAGAAAGCAACUUUAUUUUAAUAGAAUGAUUACAAUUGCUCAUUUAUUAAGCUGUGCCAGAAAAACUGAAUUGACAGAUUUUUUUUGGUCUUUUUUCUUUUGUAGGACUGAUUUUUGUCAUUGUUAAUUAGAUUAGGUAGAUAUUUGGUUUAAUUCUAUUUUCAGGAUAAUGAAAGGCACAGGGUUGUUUGUGUUCUUCCCUAUUACACUUUUGUUCACUGCUGUCUCCAGUAUCUAAAGGGAGUGGCAACAUUAAGUGUAAAGUAGGCAUUCAAUUUCUAUUUCAAAAGAAAGAGAAAAAGAAUGUGAGACAUAUAUAUAAUAAUAUUAUUAUUUUAUAUAUUGCUAUCAAUAUUUUAUAUAUAUAUAUAUAUCAAUAGAAAGAGAGAGAGAAAGAGAAAGGAAAAGAAGGGAAGGCAGGAAGAGAGAGGAGAUAAUCCUCUACUUGGCAUAUAAAAGGCUUCAGUAAAAAAAUAAAAAAAGAUACAGUAAGAAGUUUCACCCAUGGCAUUGGGGUGUUGUGGACUUGGGGUGGUGGAAGGUUAGCACUUAUUGGAAUUUGCUAUAUGCCAUGCACUGUUAAGCACAUUAUACCCAUAAUUUCAUUAGUCCUAAAACCAACCAAGUGAGCUAUUUAUUAUUAUUUCCAUUUUUACAAAUGAGAAAAUUGUACUUAGUGUGGUUAAGUAAUUUACCCAAGGUCACACAGCUCACAAGUGGCACAGUCAAGAUGUAAAUCUAUAUCUGUCUGACUUAUAGACAUAUUUUUUAAUGGGCUGUUUACCUAUUCAUUUAGCAAACAUUUACUGAAUCUAUAUCACUAUAUCUAUAUUACUAUAUCACUCUUGUCAGAUAAUCUCAUUUCUUCUCAUACCUUGCAAUAUCACAUGUAAGGUAAAUACUCCCGAAGUAUUUCUUCAUAUACCCAGAUGCCUUUUUGACAUUCCUUACUCUGCCAUCUGUACAUACUUUCACCUAAUAUGUAAGAUCAAAUUCUAGAUUUUAGCCCCCAAUUUGUCUUUUCCUGGGUCUCCAUUUCCUCUGCAGAUUAUACAACUAUCGAUAUAGUUAAUAAAAUCAUAAAAUUGGGAGUCAUCCUUAACUCUUUUCUUUUUUAAAAACUCUCAAAUCCUAAUCUCAUGUUUUACAAGACUUUAUAAGGCCUGUCCACUACCCCCAUCUCUACCUUUAUUUCUCUCCUGCUGCUUAUCUGCUAGUCAUAUGGGCAUUCUGGAAGUUUUGAGAACAAAUCAAGCUCUUUCUUUUUUUUUAUUACAUUAAAAAUUUUUUUUAAUUUUAUUUAUUUAUUUUUUGCCUGUGUUGGGUCUUUGUUGCUGUGCAUGGACUUUCUCUAGUUGCGUCGAGCGGGGGCUACUCUUCAUUGUGGUGCGCGAGCUUCUCAUUGCAGUGGCUUCUCUUGUUGCAGAGCAUGGGCUUUAGGCUCACGGGCUUCAGUAGUUGUGGCACGCGGGCUCAGUUGUUGUGGUGCACGGGCUUAGUUGCUCCACAGCAUGUGGGAUCCUCCCAGACCAGGGAUCGAACCUGUGUCCCCUGAGUUGGUGGGCGGAUUCUUAACCACUGCACCACCAGGGAAGUCCCAAGCUCUUUCUUACAAAAGGAUUUUGCAUUUGCUAUCAUCUUCCUGGAAUGCUUCCUUCAUCUUUUCUCUCAGGUCUCAGCUUAAAUGAAACCUCCUCAGAGAAAUUUGGUCCUGACAAACCAUAAUUAAAAAAAAAAAUUUUCUAACUAGGUCCUUGGUUAUUCUAUCAUAGCACUCUACUCAUUUUCUUCCUAGUACUUGGAAUGGUGUAGAGUUAAUUUACUUUGUUUACUUGUUAAAUGUGUCUCCACAAUAGACUGUAAACUCUUUGAUACAUUAAAUCUGGUUCUUUGCUGCAAACCUGUGACCUAGCACUGGGCUUGGUACCUAGAAGGUAUUCGAUGAAUAUUCGCUUAGUCAACAAAUAAAUAAUUUUUGGUAGAACUUCUUGAAUCCUGUCUGUGCAUUCAGAAUGUUUCUUUAAGACCCAUAAUGAUAUCCAUUUUAUGAACAGGAACACUUUUGUGUCUACCAGGAUUUUGUCUUCAGCCUCUUCUAUUUUCUCUCACAGCUCUCCAUGGAUUAGAGUCUCCUAACCUAACCCAUUAUCCCAGACAUUUCUUUUAAUUUUAGGCUGCUAUUACUGUGAGUCUUCUGAAUACAAUACAGGUAACUUAAACAUACUUUUUUCAAAGCCAAACUGUUAUUUUCUCCCCAAACUUCGUUCUUUCUGUAUACCAAGAUCAGAGUCCACACAAUUCACCCAGUCCACCAAGCUAGCAAUGUGAGUCCUCUGGACUACUGCUCUACUUCAUCCCACAUCUGAUCAAGGAAGUCCAGCCCACUUUAGCUCAGAUAUGUCUCUCAGUCUGAUUGCUUAUUUCACCUUUGCUGCCUGUGCUUUAGCACAUGUCACACUCCAUCUCAGAGACCUUUUAUCUCUUUAUUGUCUGCAGGAUAAAUUCUAAACAUCUUCCCAUAGCGUGCCAUGCCAUGCUUACCCUUUAAGAAUUAGCUCACAUAUUAUCUGUGUGAAGCUCCUUAGUGAAUUUCCCUUCUGAUAUCCUAUACUGCAUUGUGCACACAUUUAAUUGAGCACUUAUCAUGUUGAAUUGUUGUGAUCUGUCCAUUAAAUUUUGGACUUUUAAAAGACAGUGUCUGAUCAUCUCCAGCAUCUAGCAAGGUGCUUUUUGCAUAGUUUCAGUUGGUGUUUAAUGUCUGUUUUCAAAAUGAAUGAUGAUCAGUGAGGUCAGAUGGGUUCCCCAAGGUAACAUGCCUCUCUGUGGAAGAUUGAGUUUAGGUUCUCUGAUGCUUUUGCCUGCUGUAGUGUUGGCAUAAAGAGGCACUUUGAGGAGAAGACUUUACACCCUUCUGUAAUCUACAGCCUUUCUUCCAUAUUUAUCAAUCCCACAUAAAUUUACAGUGUAAAGGAAAAUAACAUGGUUAUCUUGCAAACAUAGGCCAAGACUAGCCCCACCUUCCAACCAGUUCACCUAAGUCCCCUUCUAUAAAAAUCACAUUCCAUACUUGCUUAUUUAGAUUGCAUUACGUAGACUUCAUAGCUGAUUUAAAUAUGCAGAUUAGCACAAUGCACUUAUGACUGAUGAAAAACUGUCUGUGAUUUACUAAUUCAUGUAUUUUUUUAGUAGUCAUCAGACAUGAGAUUACUCUGACAAAAGAACAGGUUAAUGACAAGUCUGAGGUCAAUUUGUAUCACUUGGAUAUUCAUGUACAUGUUCACUACAUUUAAUAACUCAUUAGUAACUCCAGCAUAGAUCAGUAGACUAAAAUGGAAAUACACUGUUUUUCAAAACACUAGGGCAGUUUUUGUGUUAGAUUGGUUAUUAAAUACUAUCACAUGAAAUUCUUGCAAAUUGAAUGUUAUCUCCCAUGGGAUUUUAUAAAUGUUUGUUAAAUAACUUCAUAGUCUGAAACAGGGGCUGGCAAACUGGCCACUGGGCCAAAUACAACCCACCUCCUGUUUUUGUAUGGUUGCACACUAAGAAUAGUUUUUGCGUUUUUUGUGGCCUCUGUUGUGGCCUCUCCCGUUGCGGAGCACAGGCUCCAGACGCGCAGGCUCAGCGGCCAUGGCUCACGGGCCCAGCCGCUCUGCGGCAUGUGGGAUCCUCCCGGACCGGGGCAUGAACCC
Long non-coding RNA from Orcinus orca (killer whale), 4798 nucleotides. RefSeq lists it as uncharacterized. The transcript has 4 exons. NCBI's taxonomy places the organism in Eukaryota, Metazoa, Chordata, Mammalia, Artiodactyla, Delphinidae. The record is from RefSeq and is a predicted model, not a curated record.